UACGAGGGGGGCGAGCGUUGUUCGGAAUUAUUGGGCGUAAAGGGUGCGUAGGCGGUUUGGUAAGUCUGAUGUGAAAUCUAUGGGGCUCAACUCAUAGUCUGCAUCGGAAACUGCUGGGCUAGAGUCCGGAAGAGGCGAGUGGAAUUCCUGGUGUAGCGGUGAAAAUGCGCAGAUAUCAGGAGGGAACACCGAUGGCGAAAGGCAGCUCGCUGGGGACGGUACUGACGCUGAGGCGCGAAAAGCGUGGGGGGAGCAAAACAGG
Molecule: ribosomal RNA, 262 nt
Filed under: uncultured bacterium
Lineage: Bacteria
Description: partial 16S ribosomal RNA
Rfam family: Bacterial small subunit ribosomal RNA
Source: RNAcentral